CUGCCCCAGUGCCCGGAAUAGCCCUGCGAAAGCAGGAUUAAUGCCGGAUGAAGUCAUCACACGGCAUCGUGAGAUGAAAAAAGGUUUACCACUCUGGGAGGAGCUCGCGGCCUAUUAGCUUGUUGGUGGGGUAAUGGCCUACCAAGGCGAUGAUGGGUAGCUGGUCUGAGAGGACGAUCAGCCACACUGGGACUGAGACACUGCCCAG
This 208-nucleotide ribosomal RNA is filed under the name uncultured bacterium. RNAcentral describes it as "partial 16S ribosomal RNA". It matches the Rfam family "Bacterial small subunit ribosomal RNA", at positions 126 to 334 of the family's 1533-position model. The record is from RNAcentral.